This 253-nucleotide ribosomal RNA is filed under the name uncultured bacterium. RNAcentral describes it as "partial 16S ribosomal RNA". It matches the Rfam family "Bacterial small subunit ribosomal RNA", at positions 524 to 776 of the family's 1533-position model. The record is from RNAcentral.
UACGGAGGGUGCAAGCGUUAUCCGGAAUCAUUGGGUUUAAAGGGUCCGUAGGCGGGUAAUUAAGUCAGUGGUGAAAUGCAGGGGCUCAACUCCGGCACUGCCAUUGAUACUGGUUAUCUUGAAUUAUUGUGAAGUGGUUAGAAUAUGUAGUGUAGCGGUGAAAUGCUUAGAUAUUACAUAGAAUACCGAUUGCGAAGGCAGAUCACUAACAAUAUAUUGACGCUGAUGGACGAAAGCGUGGGGAGCGAACAGG